CAUAAGUGAAUUAAGGGUGUAUGGGGGAUGCCUAGGCUCUUGAAGGCGAUGAAGGACGUGUUAAGCUGCGAUAAGCUACGGGGAUUUGCACAAAAGAAUUAAUCCGUAGAUUUCCGAAUGGGGCAACCCAAUGGUUUGAAGAACCAUUACCACAAUGUGGAGCAAACCCGGAGAACUGAAACAUCUAAGUACCCGGAGGAAGAGAAAACAAAAGUGAUUCCGUAAGUAGUGGCGAGCGAACGCGGAUUAGCCCAAACCGUUGUUGUUACGGCAAUGACGGGGUUGUAGGACGUUUUUUUAGAAAGGAUUUUAAUUUGAAUGAGUUGGGAAGCUCAGCCGUAGAAGGUGAUAGCCCUGUAAGAGUACAUAAUCUGGACGUAGACGUAUCCUGAGUAGGGGGGGACUGGAGAAAUCCCCUUUGAAUCAGCCGGCACCAUCCGGUAAGGCUAAAUACUAACAAGAGACCGAUAGUGAACGAGUACUGUGAAGGAAAGGUGAAAAGUACCCCGAAUAGGGGGGUGAAAAGACCCUGAAACCAUACACUUACAAGCGGUCGGAGCAGCGCGAUGCUGUGACGGCGUGCCUUUUGCAUAAUGACCCUACGAGUUACUCUUCCUGGCAAGAUUAAGGAUUGCAGAUCUGGAGUCGGAGCGAAAGCGAGUCUGAAAAGGGCGUUUAGUCAGGGGGAGUAGACGCGAAACCUUGUGAUCUACCCAUGGCCAGGUUGAAGGUGUGGUAACACACACUGGAGGACCGAACGAGUUUACGUUGAAAAGUAUUUCGAUGAGCUGUGGGUAGGGGUGAAAGGCUAAUCAAACUGGGAAAUAGCUCGUACUCCCCGAAAUGUUUUUAGGAACAGCGUCGUGGUUGAGUUUCAUGCAGGUAAAGCUACCAAUAGGACUAGGGGGAGUCAAAUCCUACCAAAUCCUGAUGAACUCUGAAUGGCAUGAAAUAUACACGGCAGUGAGGGCCGGGGUGCUAAGGUCACGGUCCGAGAGGGAAAGAACCCAGACCAACAGUUAAGGUCCCAAAAUCUAUACUAAGUUGAACAAAGGAGGUCUGAUUGCAGAGACAGCCAGGAUGUUAGCUUGGAAGCAGCUAUUCAUUUAAAGAGUGCGUAACAGCUCACUGGUCGAGCGAGGCGGGCAUCGAUAAUAAACGGGCAUCAAGUAUAGUACCGAAGCUUUGGAUUAUGUAGAGAUACAUACUGGUAGGGGAGCAUUCUGAUAGCGAUGAAGGUGAAUCGACAAGGUUUGCUGGAGUGAUCAGAAAAGCAAAUGUAGGGAUAAGUAACGAUAAUGGGGGCGAGAAACCCCCACGCCGAAAAGUCAAGGAUUCCUCAGCUAUGCUAAUCAACUGAGGGUUAGUCGGGGGCUAAGGGUCUAGCGAGAGCGACAAUCUAAUGCACAUCAGGUUAAUAUUCCUGAACUUACUAUUAGGGAAACACGAUGACGGAGACU
RNAcentral lists this ribosomal RNA (1460 nucleotides) under Flectobacillus longus. Its description in RNAcentral is "partial 23S ribosomal RNA". It matches the Rfam family "Bacterial large subunit ribosomal RNA", at positions 1 to 1480 of the family's 2925-position model. The record is from RNAcentral. Lineage: Bacteria; Pseudomonadati; Bacteroidota; Cytophagia; Cytophagales; Flectobacillaceae.